Molecule: microRNA, 22 nt
Filed under: Ovis aries (sheep)
Lineage: Eukaryota; Metazoa; Chordata; Mammalia; Artiodactyla; Bovidae
Description: oar-miR-539-5p
Gene: oar-miR-539-5p
Source: miRBase by way of RNAcentral
AGAAAUUAUCCUUGGUGUGUUC